AUUGAACGCUGGCGGCAGGCCUAACACAUGCAAGUCGAAUGGUAACAGGAAACAGCUUGCUGUUUCGCUGACGAGUGGCGGACGGGUGAGUAAUGUCUGGGAAACUGCCUGAUGGAGGGGGAUAACUACUGGAAACGGUAGCUAAUACCGCAUAACGUCGCAAGACCAAAGAGGGGGGACCUUCGGGCCUCUUGCCAUCAGAUGUGCCCAGAUGGGAUUAGCUAGUAGGUGGGGUAACGGCUCACCUAGGCGACGAUCCCUAGCUGGUCUGAGAGGAUGACCAGCCACGCUGGAACUGAGACACGGUCCAGACUCCUACGGGAGGCAGCAGUGGGGAAUAUUGCACAAUGGGCGCAAGCCUGAUGCAGCCAUGCCGCGUGUAUGAAG
Molecule: ribosomal RNA, 387 nt
Filed under: uncultured bacterium
Lineage: Bacteria
Description: bacterial SSU rRNA
Rfam family: Bacterial small subunit ribosomal RNA
Source: RNAcentral